This 213-nucleotide unclassified non-coding RNA is filed under the name Hevea brasiliensis (rubber tree). The record is from RNAcentral. Lineage: Eukaryota; Viridiplantae; Streptophyta; Magnoliopsida; Malpighiales; Euphorbiaceae.
CUUCUAGUUUAGUACUACUGCCUCUCUCUCUCUCUCUCUCUCCUUUAAUUCUUCCCUUCUCUUCUCAAUCUUUACGGGGAAGGAUGAUGAGGGAUGACCCUCUCAUAUAAGAGACGUAACGGACGUUACUUCCCUGCCAUUUUUUUGACUCACGUGCGUUCGAAAUAUUUCCUUUCACUUAAUAAUGGUUUUAGAGCAGCAAUUAAACUUGGC